GCACCCCAGCCUGGGCAACAGAGUGAGACUCUGUCUCACUCUGUUGCACAGUUUACAACAACAAAACUAUAGCAUCCAUCACAUAGAGGAGAGACUCCCCAACACACAUAUAAGGAUUACUCUCAGCCCCAGCUCCCUCAAACUUCCUAAGAUCAGCACUGGUAUCUGAUGGUGGCUCCUUGUAAAUCAAACUUAAUGGAGUAUGUGUUAUUUGGUUUAUGUUUAUGUGCAGCCUGCAUAACAACCACUCUGUCAACAUCAUGCAUAUGUUCAUUGUGUUGGUACUAGAAGACUCUAUGACACACACAAGCUGAUGUCAUCUGAUGGGUCUAUUUUAUCUACUUGGCUGUGCAAAUCCUCUUCUGUAGUAUAUGCUUUCUGGUGGACACUAAUAUGGAACACAAAGAUCUUCUCACAUUGCAGCUGCUCCCAUAUAUCCAUUGAUAUAUGCCUCUAACUCCAGACCUUUUUGUCCUUAAUCUUCUAAUCCGGUUAUCUCUUUUCCUUUAGUGCAAUUUUUCCUUAUUUGUUUGUUUUGUUUUUUUUUUUAAGUAAAUAGCUAGGCUUCUAAGCCCUACCACAGAGAGUCAACAGACAAACUGCCCAGGGAAAAGUUAUGACCUCAGGCAAAGUGAAUUUCUACAGCUAAGGCAGAUCCUGAAGAAGCUCACAAAUAAAGGCUGCAUACUCACACAUUCCCUGAAGCUUGACAGUGCCAGCCACCAUACUGUGAGGGAGCUGAAGUAAGCCCACAUGAGGAAGAAUUGAGGUCCCAAGCCAACAGCUGCAGCUAAGAUCCAAGCUCUCAACCAGUACCAGUUCAUCCGUUAUGCACACUAAGAUAUGGAAGCUAAAAGAGGACUAAGAGGAUUCUGGGGAUAUUACAAGAUAUUGCAGACUAUCUUGUUUUCCUGGAAAAGGAUUUUACCUCAGUCGACUGAAUUACUUUUUUCACUGUGUCUUGCCACUCUUCGUGCAUGCAUCAAAGACCCUAAUAUGACUUCUGGUGGCCUGGGACUCCUUGGGAAAACAGAAAAGGGGCCACAAAUCCCAUUUUGGGAACAAUCUGUUUUACUCAUGGAACCCCUGGAAUUAGAGAUACAACUGGAGAAACUGUUCUGUGGAGGCUUUGAGUGGAAGGGUGUGCUUCCCUUUAAGGAAUCAAGCUUGAUUUGCAAAGCCAAUAAAACCCCCUUAAGAAAACUGGCCUCCUACCUGUCUACACAGUCUCUGUACAAGAUUACUGACCUGUGGUGAGCAAAAAAAUGUCACUUUCUAACAGACCUAGGAACUCCAUGCUUCUAAAAUCUCAGGAAGAAAAAAGUUUAUCCAACUCACAGUUAUUUGUAGAUACAAACCCAUGGCUGGGCUUGGUUUUAAAAAGUCCGAUCUGAAAUUCCUUGUGGAACAGAGAGUUCCAUCAAAGCCAAUCAAAAAGGCCUAUAUAGAGGUGAUUAUUCUUGCUUCAUUUUAUGCAAAUAAUCAGGCCAAGUAUACAACUAAAGUUUACUUUGCAAACAGCUAAGUCCUAUCAUAAGUUGUUUUUUAACAAAAUGAGGACUAGAGAGACAGAAAUUAUGUUUCAAAAUUUAUCAUACAUCUGUCAUUGGAUUCAAGUCUCAUUAGUCAUUUUUAAAUUCUUGUCUACAUUUUAAACUAACCAUGCUAAUUCUUGUAAUCCAACCACAUCUCCAGCUGUGGCUCAAACAAAACAGAAAGUGAUAGGUAAUGUAAAAAUCUCGAACAAUGUUCUGGCUGGGCAAUUAUCCUAUAAAUCUUGCUAGGUAGCCUAUAACCCCAAGGUUUUCUUUUUUUGGGAAAGUAAGAUCAAGAAAGUUUAAAAAAGCCUAGCCCCAUACACUCACUUAAAACAGCACAACCCAUCUAAAUGGCUUACAGGUAUCAAAUAAACUCUGUUGUCAUGGUUAUGGCCUAUAGUGCCCCCACUAAUAAUGGUAGUCUUAAUACUCAUAUUUUAACCCUAUAUUCUAAACCUCCUUGUAAAGUUUACUUCUUCUCACCUAGAAACCAUCAAGCUUUAAAUGGUGUGGCAAAAGGAGCUGAAAAUUAAACUGACCUUCUACUGCAUACCCUUAAAUUGACCCAGGAGGAGCCCUAGCUGCUAUUCCCAUGCCACGCCCCUCUCCAGCAGGAAGUAGCCAGAAGCUGCUCCAAGUACAGAAAACCCUUUGAAGUCACUUGGAACUUUGUGCUCCGAUGAGGCCUGAAGGACAUGCAAAGUAAGAAACAUGGCCAUGCUUGCAAAUAAGCAAAAACUGAUCUAUGGCAGUUUUGCAGAAGAGAAUGGAAAGAAGUUUGGAGCUGCUCAAGGGCUACAAAUGCCAUGCUAGGAAGUUCACUUCAUCCUUUGGGAAGAUAAUGGAGAUGCAACAGAACUUUUAUGUAUAUUCAUAUAUUUUAAUAUAUUAUU
Molecule: long non-coding RNA, 2431 nt
Filed under: Homo sapiens (human)
Lineage: Eukaryota; Metazoa; Chordata; Mammalia; Primates; Hominidae
Description: HSALNT0328551
Source: RNAcentral